Long non-coding RNA from Solenopsis invicta (red fire ant), 844 nucleotides. RefSeq lists it as uncharacterized. Lineage: Eukaryota; Metazoa; Arthropoda; Insecta; Hymenoptera; Formicidae. The transcript has 2 exons. The record is from RefSeq and is a predicted model, not a curated record.
GUACACUUUUUAACAGACUAUUAAUUUUUUUUAUUAUUCUUGUCUAUUAAUGCAAUCAUUUUUAUGUAGAGAGUUGUAACAUCAAUAUUGUUCCUUCGGUUUCAUCUGCUGCUGAUAGAAGUACAGAAGAACCAAUUGAACUGAACAAUUUAGACAUAUGUGAUACACAGUCUCUUUCUUCAUUGAAUUUUGCACCUGUUAAGUGGACAAAUUCUAAUGCUGUGAGAACACUUAUUUCCAAAUGGAAAAACCACGAAAGUGAUUUUAAAAAUACUCAAAUUAGAAAUAAUAAGGUAUGGCAAAUAAUUGCAGAAGAGUUAAAGAAAGUAAAUCCUUCGUGGAACUUUAAUAGUAUUCAAUGCGAAAACAAAUUUAAAAAUGUUAGAAAAUCGUAUACUAAAGUAAAAAAUCAUAAUAACCAGAGUGGAGCAGAACUGAAAACAUAUAAAUUUUAUGAAGAGAUGGAGGCUGUUUUGGGUGACAAACCAAUUAUAAAACCUAUUUCAAUAGCAUCAACUUUAAUGAAGAGGACAUGUCCGAAAGAGCGGUAUCACCAUAUCUGACAGUGAGGAGAAAGAAAAUUCAUCACAAUCAAAGCAGAAAAAAAGUAAAAUAGCAAAAGAAUUUGACAAAUGGAGUGUACAACAUAAAAUGGAAGCAAAAGAACGAGAGGAAGCGAGAAUGCAGUGGCAUAAAGAAAAAAUGGAAAAACAAGAUAAAGCUAUAGCAGUUUAGAGCAAAUGGAAAAAUUAUUGGAAAAGCUCUAACAAGUUAAAACAGUCUAUUUCUCUUUUUGUUUUGUUAAAAGGAUUCGUUUAUAAUGUAAAAGUUUUUCUUACAAGUA